GUAGUUGACUCCUGGCUACAGGACACGCUGGCGGCGUGCUUAACACAUGCAAGUCGAACGAUGAUCAGGAGCUUGCUCCUGUGAUUAGUGGCGAACGGGUGAGUAACACGUGAGUAACCUGCCCCUGACUCUGGGAUAAGCGUUGGAAACGACGUCUAAUACUGGAUAUGAUCACUGGUCGCAUGGCCUGGUGGUGGAAAGAUUUUUGGUUGGGGAUGGACUCGCGGCCUAUCAGCUUGUUGGUGAGGUAAUGGCUCACCAAGGCGACGACGGGUAGCCGGCCUGAGAGGGUGACCGGCCACACCGGGACUGAGACACGGCCCAGACUCCUACGGGAGGCAGCAGUGGGGAAUAUUGCACAAUGGGCGAAAGCCUGAUGCAGCAACGCCGCGUGAGGGAUGACGGCCUUCGGGUUGUAAACCUCUUUUAGUAGGGAAGAAGGGAGCUUCGGUUCUUGACGGUACCUGCAGAAAAAGCACCGGCUAACUACGUG
Molecule: ribosomal RNA, 493 nt
Filed under: uncultured Curtobacterium sp.
Lineage: Bacteria; Bacillati; Actinomycetota; Actinomycetes; Micrococcales; Microbacteriaceae
Description: bacterial SSU rRNA
Rfam family: Bacterial small subunit ribosomal RNA
Source: RNAcentral